Molecule: long non-coding RNA, 302 nt
Organism: Osmerus eperlanus (European smelt)
Lineage: Eukaryota; Metazoa; Chordata; Actinopteri; Osmeriformes; Osmeridae
Exons: 2
Source: RefSeq, a predicted model, not a curated record
CAGGAAUGAGGACAUGCAGUUGUUGUGAACAUGUCCCUCCCUGUAACAGAUGACAGAGCUAGCCUGACCGGUUGAGGCAUCCACUCCUCAGCUGUAGGCUACACAGCAUUCCUGCUCAUGUCUGAUGUCUGUCUGUCAGCCUCUGUUCUGGAGAAACCAACUUCAUGUAUGAGGAAAUGCAGUUGUUUUGAACUUGACGCUGCCAGCAGAAACGAUGGGUGUUGCCAAGAUUUGUCGGUCCCAUGACUUAUUAGAAUUAUGGGUAAAUAAUAUACAGUAAUUAUUAAACAAACAUGGACAAA